AAAGUACUCCCUCCAUCCCAAAAAUCUUGUCUUAGAUUUGUCCAGAUACAGAUGUAUCAAGUCACAUUUUAGUAUUAGAUACAUCCGUAUCUAGACAAUUCUAAGACAAGAAAUUUGGGACAGAAGGAGUAGUUG
Triticum aestivum (bread wheat) is the source of this 135-nucleotide non-coding RNA. NCBI's taxonomy places the organism in Eukaryota, Viridiplantae, Streptophyta, Magnoliopsida, Poales, Poaceae. The record is from Rfam.